UACGUAGGCAGCGAGCGUUGUUCGGAGUUACUGGGCGUAAAGGGUGCGCAGGCGGUGGAGCAAGUCUGUUGUGAAAUCUCCCGGCUUAACCGGGAGGGUGCGGCGGAAACUGUUCUGCUGGAGUGAGGGAGAGGCAAGCGGAAUUCCUGGUGUAGCGGUGAAAUGCGCAGAUAUCAGGAGGAACACCGAUGGCGAAGGCAGGUCUCUGGGCAUUAACUGACGCUGAGGAGCGAAAGCAUGGGGAGCGAACAGG
This 253-nucleotide ribosomal RNA is filed under the name uncultured bacterium. RNAcentral describes it as "partial 16S ribosomal RNA". It matches the Rfam family "Bacterial small subunit ribosomal RNA", at positions 524 to 776 of the family's 1533-position model. The record is from RNAcentral.